RNAcentral lists this small nucleolar RNA (125 nucleotides) under Aotus nancymaae (Ma's night monkey). RNAcentral describes it as "Small Cajal body specific RNA 23 (ENSANAG00000013302.1)". It matches the Rfam family "Small Cajal body specific RNA 23". From Rfam's summary of the family: scaRNAs are a specific class of small nuclear RNAs which localise to the Cajal bodies and guide the modification of RNA polymerase II transcribed spliceosomal RNAs U1, U2, U4, U5 and U12. The record is from Rfam by way of RNAcentral. Lineage: Eukaryota; Metazoa; Chordata; Mammalia; Primates; Aotidae.
GCGCUCACGAAGGCUCGGUCCUCUCCAUGUGGUCCCGACCUGUCCUCUGUGAGCAAGAGAAACAGGACUGGUUUGGGGGUGUCCUGUCUGAGUGGACAUGGGACACCAUGGUUUUCAGUACGACA